CUGUUCCCUAGGGCAUCACAUAUAUAGUAAAACUGGAACGAUACAGAGAAGAUUGGCAUGGCCCUUGUGCAAGGAUGACACGCAGAUUCGUGAAGCUGUCCACAUUUUU
Small nuclear RNA from Microtus ochrogaster (prairie vole), 109 nucleotides. The record is from Ensembl. Lineage: Eukaryota; Metazoa; Chordata; Mammalia; Rodentia; Cricetidae.